AGAUACAGGAGACAUGGGUUCAGUCCUUGGCUUGGGAAGAUCCCCUGGAGAAGGGAAUGGCUACCCACUCCAGUAUUUUUGCCUGAAAAAUCCCAUGGACAGAGGAGCCUGGUGGGCUACAGUCCAUGGGGUUGCAAACAGUAGGACAUAGCGACCAAAUAACAAACAAAAAGAGGUAUAUAAAACCUCAGUUAUUGUGGCAGGAGUGGAAAUGGGAAAUAAAGACCAGAUUAUGAGAGAUCAAGAGAGAAGGACUGCUAAAACCCAGGGAGCUUUGUUGUUCAGUCACUCAGUCGCAUCGGACUCUUGCAACCCCAUGAACUGCAGCACGCCAGACUUUCCUGUCCUUUAUCAUCUCCCGGAACUUGAUUAUGAGAGAUCACGAGAGAAGGAUUGCUAAAACCUGGUGAGGAAGGAGGGUUCAAAAUUCCUGGAGCCGUCAAGCCUGGGUGGAAGGGAGUAGCGGUCCAGCAGAGAGAGCUCUUCCCUCUGUUCUCAGCUCUCUGGAUAACCUUGAACAAACCAGCUAACCUCUUCAGCCUCAUCUGCUUCACCUAAUUAAGACUGGAGCAGAUGAUCGCAACCUUUCCCAUUCUCUGAAAUCAGCUCUUCACCAAAACCAGGAGGACAGCAAGGGUCCAUGGCUGGGAAACAAAAGACUUGUGUCUCAUGUUAGCUAUGUUGAGCUUUAGACGCCAGCCCACCAGGCUCUGCCGUCCCUGGGAUUCUCCAGGCAAGAACACUGGAGUGGGUUGCCAUUUCCUUCUCCAGUGCAUGAAAGUGAAAAGUGAAAGUGAACUUGCUCAGUCGUGUCCGACUCUCAGCGACCUCAUGGACUGUAGCCUACCAGGCUCCUCCGUCCGCGGGAUUUUCCAGAUUCUUGGGGAUUUGAUCACACAGGAAGCAACUAGUUUAGUGGCAAUAACCCUUAGACCCAACCUCUAAA
Bos taurus (domestic cattle) is the source of this 946-nucleotide long non-coding RNA. The record is from Ensembl. NCBI's taxonomy places the organism in Eukaryota, Metazoa, Chordata, Mammalia, Artiodactyla, Bovidae.